CAACGCGCGCCGCCAGUACUGUGCUCACCUGCCAGCCGAGCGCAGGCGCCGUCCGCGUGUUGUUUCGCGACAUCUACCGUCUCGUCCGGUCACGCAACCGUAGCGCCCCCACCUAUCGAUAUCUGACUCGAACUGGACAUCAUCUGUCCACACUCGGAUAGUGUGUGUGCUCUUGGAGUGGAGAACUUGGCUUCCCAAACAACUUACCCGUCCUCACAGAUCGAUCGCACUCAGAAUAUUCUCUGAACUGCUUAAACCGGACAUUGCCUCGAAGACAAAAAACUUAAAGAAGUCGAAGCUAUGGCGCUAAUACUACAGUAUUUAAAAUGGGAUAUGCAUCGUUUUUAUGGACAAAUAUGGAGAUCCUCGAACUAAUCCAUGGUUCCUGAUGAGUUCCCCAUUACCUACAUUAUUAAUAUGUUUAAGCUACGCUCUAGUCAAGGUUGUAGGGCCAAGAUUUAUGGAGAAUAGAAAACCUUAUGAACUUAAAAAUCUAUUAAUAGUUUACAACUUUAUACAAGUACUUUUCAGUGCAUGGCUGUUCUAUGAG
Manduca sexta (tobacco hornworm) is the source of this 550-nucleotide long non-coding RNA. RefSeq lists it as uncharacterized. Lineage: Eukaryota; Metazoa; Arthropoda; Insecta; Lepidoptera; Sphingidae. The record is from RefSeq and is a predicted model, not a curated record. The transcript is spliced from 5 exons.